Molecule: ribosomal RNA, 118 nt
Filed under: Jaculus jaculus (lesser Egyptian jerboa)
Lineage: Eukaryota; Metazoa; Chordata; Mammalia; Rodentia; Dipodidae
Source: RNAcentral
GACUAUGGCCACUGCGCCCUCAACGUGCCGGGUCCUGUCUGAUCUGGGAAGCUAAGCAGGGCCCGACCUGGUUAAGCCCUUGGAUGGGAGAACCAAGGCUAGCACCAGUGUAUAGUAG